UAACGCGAAGAACCUUACCUGGACUCGAAAUCUGGUCGACCGCCUCAGAGAUGAGGUUUUCCCGCAAGGGACGGCUGGAUAGGUGCUGCAUGGCUGUCGUCAGCUCGUGUCGUGAGAUGUUGGGUUAAGUCCCGCAACGAGCGCAACCCUUACGCCAAGUUGCUCGCCCGCAAGGGAAGCACCCUAGGAGAACCGCCUCAGAUAAUGGGGAGGAAGGUGGGGAUGACGUCAAGUCCUCAUGGCCUUUAUGUCCAGGGCUACACACGUGUUACAAUGCAGGGCACAAACCGUUGCCAACCCGCGAGGGGGAGCUAAUCGGAAAAAACUCUGCUCAGUUCGGAUUGCAGUCUGCAACUCGACUGCAUGAAGCCGGAAUCGCUAGUAAUGGCGUAUCAGAUCGACGCCGUGAAUACGUUCCCGGGCCUUGUACACACC
Molecule: ribosomal RNA, 435 nt
Filed under: uncultured bacterium
Lineage: Bacteria
Description: bacterial SSU rRNA
Rfam family: Bacterial small subunit ribosomal RNA
Source: RNAcentral